GCUACCCACUGUGAGCUAAAUUUAGCGGAGUUACAAAAAUAACAGAAAUAACAACCCACUGAUCUGAAAUAAUCGGUCAAGUGAGUUGAAAGUGAUGGCAUUUAAACGGCGGACCGUUUUGACGUUGAUUUAAAAGGAGAGGCCAGUUUUGUCCUACUUGUGAAUUAGGGCAAAACUAACGCAGGAUGGCCAGCCACCACUAUAAAAGGUGUAGGCAAGACGCUCGCAAACGCUAUCAAUCGCCAACUUCGGCUUCGCCUAAAUCCGUCGCUGACCCAGAAGAGAUCAGCCAUCUUUCUUUCUUUCUUUUGUUUUUUCUGUAUUUCAACAACUGGUAAUCGUCUAUGGAUUUGUUUUGUUACGUUGUUCUCUUAGUGGAUUACUCAGAUCCUCAGAGAGAGUGAUGAAUCUCUUUGUGCUAACGCAGCCCCAAUCUCUAGCAAGACUGGCGCAAUGAGCGGCACUUUCCACACGAGAUUUCUGACUCUUCUUAUUUUAAAACAAUUUCUUUAUUUUUCUUCUUGUUCAGUAAUGUUGGAUAAGCUAUUCUUCAUCUCUUUCAUCAUGUCCUCUCUU
This 576-nucleotide unclassified non-coding RNA is filed under the name Hevea brasiliensis (rubber tree). The record is from RNAcentral. Lineage: Eukaryota; Viridiplantae; Streptophyta; Magnoliopsida; Malpighiales; Euphorbiaceae.